GGGUUAUGUAUUAGUCACUGUCAGUGUGACUUUUGCCUCAAUUAAUAAAAGACAGGAGAUGUUCUUGAGUCACUUGAAGUCCCUGUGUUCACCAGGCGUUGCCAGGAAGGACAUGGCAUCCACCAGUGUUGUCAAUAAAUAAUUGGGAUCUCUCAAUUGCAUUUAAACUCGCUGUUGUGUUUUCUGCAGUAUUUCAAGAAUUGCAUUGUUGGAUGCACAUGCAUAAAUAUGUUGAUUACAAGGUUUUUUUGUAUUAAAUCGGAAUAAAAAAGGAUGGAUAUGAAGAAGCUUUCACUACAAACUUUUUUUAAUUUAUUUUAAUUUUGUAUUUCUUGUCCUAAGAGCUGAUAUUUCACAGAAAUGUCAUAAUAUUGCAGCACCAGUUGGCGUGUUUAGUAGCAGGAGUAGGUGUGUUUUGUUGUGUACGCAGCUGCAGCAGGGUAUUAUUAUAUAUUUGAACAAUUUGCAGUGUCUAAUGAAUUGUCUUGUUUAAAUGCUUGUUGAUGCAAUUUACAUGUUUUCUUGUGUCAUUUAUAGCAAACAUGGAGUGCAAAUGGGGGGAAGUCUUCAGUUUUAUUUCUGAAGGCUCCUACCCAUUGACACUCAACAGAGGGCAGAGGCAAACUUUAAGAAAGUAUGCCGAAAAAUUUACCACUGGCUGAAUGUUCGGAGAUUUAUAGCUUUGGACAGCUAUGAUUCUAAGAAGUUUUUGGUCAGAACACAUGAAAUUUUAUUAAUGUUGGGUAUUAAGAACCAGUUCCACUGUUCAGGGAACUGUGGAAGUCUGUGUGAAACCUGUUGAUCUGUUUUGUUAAUAUUCUAACAAUCAAAAACACAAGAUGGCUUAGGAGCAUAUCACCGAAUUUUUCAUUCCAAACGGAACAAAUUUUCCCUUAGGCUAUACCGGAACAGUCCAAAGCAUUAAAAAAAUCCAAAGAUAUAUGACAUACUAAAUUGCAGUAUUUUCUGUUAUGUACUAGUAUAAUAUGAUGGCUUGUCAACAGAAUAUAAAGAGGUAGUACUUGACUAUUUUUGGUAAAGUACACUCUAAAUGCCUUUAUUUGUUCCCAGACAAGGUGGAAGAGUACUGUGUGGAAUGCAAUAUGCUUCACUGUAAUGCUUCAGAGAACAUCAUUGACAUGAUACAGUGUGACUGCUGCUCAAGGUGGACACACAAAGAAUGUGCCACAGACAUGGGUGACAUGUUCAAAUGUAAAAAGUGUAACUUAAAUUAAACAGUUUUACCCCA
This is a long non-coding RNA of Xiphophorus hellerii (green swordtail), 1249 nucleotides long. RefSeq lists it as uncharacterized. The transcript is spliced from 2 exons. NCBI's taxonomy places the organism in Eukaryota, Metazoa, Chordata, Actinopteri, Cyprinodontiformes, Poeciliidae. The record is from RefSeq and is a predicted model, not a curated record.